GACGAACGCUGGCGGUGUGCUUCACACAUGCAAGUCGAACGGGGUAGCAAUACCCAGUGGCGGACGGGUGAGUAACGCGUAGAAAUCUGCCUUGAGAUGGGGGAUAACAGUCCGAAAGGACUGCUAAUACCGCAUAUGUAUAUAUCCGGACACGGAUGUGUAUGAAAGGAGUAAUCCGUCUUAAGAUGAGUCUGCGUCCGAUUAGCUAGUUGUAGGUAAGCCACCAGGCGACGAUCGUAGCUGGUCUGAGA
RNAcentral lists this ribosomal RNA (251 nucleotides) under uncultured bacterium. RNAcentral's name for it is "partial 16S ribosomal RNA". It matches the Rfam family "Bacterial small subunit ribosomal RNA", at positions 28 to 297 of the family's 1533-position model. The record is from RNAcentral.